UGGAAGCAUUGCACAUCCAUCUUCUUAUCUAGAAUGAAGAAACCUUCAUAGCAACCUGCUUCCGCAUGCCUCCGUGGAGUGGGAUGAUAUGUUUGAAGCACAUAUUUUGAGCAUGUUUUUCAGAUAUGUUUUAGCUGGGGCACAAGUUCAAACCUUAUCUUGAUGUGCAUUUUCAGUGGUGAAACUUUUAGAGAGGCUGAAGAUGGUGAAGGAACUGACGUGAAUUGGCAUGUCAAUAUAUUGACUCAAAUCUUAUGUUUUCUGUUGUAUAUUAACUAACUUCCCUUCAAUCUCUGUAGGAAUUUAUUUCUCUCUCAUUUCAUUUCAUUGUUGUAGACUUGUUAAGCAAUUUAAUUCUGGCUUUCAAAGAUAUGGGACGCUCUGCAUGCCGUAGUAGAAGUAGAUCUAACGCUUGCCCAAGCAAUCGUGGAUAGUGCUGGCGUGAUUGUUCAGAGAGCUGACUUGACAGUAUGCUAUGAUGAAAGAGCUGCGAAGUACGAAUUGCCCAAGUACGUUUGAGCGAGCCGACCAAUUUGAUUGAUGAUAAUUGACAAUGGAGGCAGGGCAGAUUUUGCUCGGCUUAGUGUGUAAAUCCUGUGAGUUGAUAUCGAUAGUUUGGUAAAACAAAUUGCAUCAAAGUGGAGUGCAUUCUGGCAUUUUCAUGGUGCACACUACAAUACAAAUGUUACGUAACUUUUGCCC
Molecule: long non-coding RNA, 702 nt
Organism: Syzygium oleosum
Lineage: Eukaryota; Viridiplantae; Streptophyta; Magnoliopsida; Myrtales; Myrtaceae
Exons: 2
Source: RefSeq, a predicted model, not a curated record